GGUUGAGUCUCGGUGGAGAGGGCAGUGCUUUUGAACAGCAGGCCUCUUCAGCUGUCCUUGAUCUCAUGGGAGAUGAAGGCGAUCGCCUUAACCAGCAGAAGAAAAUGAUGAAAUGGGACCGUAAGAGGAAGCGUUUUGUGAGAGAAACGGGAAAAGAAGACCAGAAGAAGACGAUCAAAACAGACAGCGGUCAGGUUAUCAGUAAGAAGAAGAACAGGAAGAACUUUUAUGAGGAGUGGAAGAAAAAAAUACAAGAUUGAUGAUACAGGAUCUGGAUCAGAUGGAGAAAGAGGCGGAGGAGGCAGGAAGCCAGCAAGAGGUCGUGGCCGUGGCCGACGAGGUCCAAACGUACAGAGCUCCGGUGACCACAAAGCACGCUCGGAGCUGAAAACAAAGGAUCAGAUCAUGAAGCAGCGCAAGAAAAAGCAGAAGCACCAGUUCCUGCAGGGCGGGGGGAUGAGGAAGCUCCGCUCCAAGAACAAAAAGUGGCUCGGAGAAGUUAAAAAGUCAGGUUUUGGAAGGGGUGGCCAUAAGAAAGGCAAGCUGAGGAAGAAACUGUGAGGAGGACAGAGGGUUGAUGGUGUGGAGGACAUCACGAGGAACUGGGUGAUAAGCGUCAGAAUCAUCUGAGAACAUCACCAAAGAUUUUCCUGGCGCUUUGUGUGACUGUAGAUUAAGGAGAAAAUGAUUUGUGCAUCUUUACACUGCAGAAAUGCACGUCACUUCUUCCUUGAUGGCCUGCUGAACGCUGCGUUUGCCACAGAGUUAUGUUUAAUUAUGGUCCACUAACCUAAUAAAGUCUAAUAAAAGUG
Neolamprologus brichardi is the source of this 812-nucleotide non-coding RNA. NCBI's taxonomy places the organism in Eukaryota, Metazoa, Chordata, Actinopteri, Cichliformes, Cichlidae. The record is from RefSeq and is a predicted model, not a curated record.